RNAcentral lists this ribosomal RNA (856 nucleotides) under uncultured bacterium. RNAcentral's name for it is "bacterial SSU rRNA". It matches the Rfam family "Bacterial small subunit ribosomal RNA", at positions 1 to 848 of the family's 1533-position model. The record is from RNAcentral.
UGGAUCCAGACUUUGAUCAUGGCUCAGGAUGAACGCUAGCUACAGGCUUAACACAUGCAAGUCGAGGGGAAACGAUAGAGAAAGCUUGCUUUUUCUAGGCGUCGACCGGCGCACGGGUGAGUAACGCGUAUCCAACCUGCCCAUCACUUGGGGAUAACCUUGCGAAAGUAAGACUAAUACCCAAUGAUAUCUCUAGAAGGCAUCUGAAGGAGAUUAAAGAUUUAUCGGUGAUGGAUGGGGAUGCGUCUGAUUAGCUUGUUGGCGGGGUAACGGCCCACCAAGGCGACGAUCAGUAGGGGUUCUGAGAGGAAGGUCCCCCACAUUGGAACUGAGACACGGUCCAAACUCCUACGGGAGGCAGCAGUGAGGAAUAUUGGUCAAUGGACGAGAGUCUGAACCAGCCAAGUAGCGUGCAGGAUGACGGCCCUAUGGGUUGUAAACUGCUUUUAUAAGGGAAUAAAGUGAGUCUCGUGAGACUUUUUGCAUGUACCUUAUGAAUAAGGACCGGCUAAUUCCGUGCCAGCAGCCGCGGUAAUACGGAAGGUCCGGGCGUUAUCCGGAUUUAUUGGGUUUAAAGGGAGCGUAGGCCGGAGAUUAAGCGUGUUGUGAAAUGUAGACGCUCAACGUCUGCACUGCAGCGCGAACUGGUUUCCUUGAGUACGCACAAAGUGGGCGGAAUUCGUGGUGUAGCGGUGAAAUGCUUAGAUAUCACGAAGAACUCCGAUUGCGAAGGCAGCUCACUGGAGCGCAACUGACGCUGAAGCUCGAAGUGCGGGUAUCGAACAGGAUUAGAUACCCUGGUAGUCCGCACGGUAAACGAUGGAUGCCCGCUGUUGGUCUGAAUAGGUCAGCGGCC